This 455-nucleotide ribosomal RNA is filed under the name uncultured bacterium. RNAcentral describes it as "bacterial SSU rRNA". It matches the Rfam family "Bacterial small subunit ribosomal RNA", at positions 28 to 467 of the family's 1533-position model. The record is from RNAcentral.
GACGAACGCUGGCGGCGUGCUUAACACAUGCAAGUCGAGCGGUAAGGCCUCUUCGGGGGUACACGAGCGGCGAACGGGUGAGUAACACGUGGGUGACCUGCCCUCAGCUCUGGGAUAAGCCUGGGAAACUGGGUCUAAUACCGGAUAUGACUGCGCAUCGCAUGGUGUGUGGUGGAAAGUCCUGGACUUUGUUGUCUGGGUUCGGCUGGGGAUGGGCCCGCGGCCUAUCAGCUUGUUGGUGGGGUGAUGGCCUACCAAGGCGACGACGGGUAGCCGGCCUGAGAGGGCGUCCGGCCACACUGGGACUGAGACACGGCCCAGACUCCUACGGGAGGCAGCAGUGGGGAAUAUUGCGCAAUGGGCGGAAGCCUGACGCAGCGACGCCGCGUGGGGGAUGACGGCCUUCGGGUUGUAAACCUCUUUCGCCAUCGACGAAGUCUCAUGGGUGAUUCUGU